GGGAAUUAUUGGGCGUAAGAGCUCGUAGGCGGUUUGUCGCGUCUGCCGUGAAAGUCCGGGGCUUAACCCCGGAUCUGCGGUGGGUACGGGCAGACUGGAGUGCAGUAGGGGAGACUGGAAUUCCUGGUGUAGCGGUGAAAUGCGCAAAUAUCAGGAGGAACACCGAUGGCGGAGGCAGGUCUCUGGGCUGUUACUGACGCUGAGGAGCGAAAGCAUGGGGAGCGAACAGGAUUAAAUACCCUGGUAGUCCAUGCCGUAAACGUUGGGCACUAGGUGUGGGGGCCAUUCCACGGUUUCCGCGCCGCAGCUAACGCAUUAAGUGCCCCGCCUGGGGAGUACGGCCGCAAGGCUAAAACUCAAAGGAAUUGACGGGGGCCCGCACAAGCAGCGGAGCAUGCGGAUUAAUUCGAUGCAACGCGAAGAACCUUACCAAGGCUUGACAUGUUCCCGAUCGCCACAGAGAUGUGGUUUCCCCUUUGGGGCGGGUUCACAGGUGGUGCAUGGUUGUCGUCAGCUCGCGUCGUGAGAUGUUGGGUUAAGUCCCGCAACGAGCGCAACCCUCGUUCUAUGUUGCCAGCACGUGAUGGUGGGAACUCAUAGGAGACUGCCGGGGUCAACUCGGAGGAAGGUGGGGAUGACGUCAAAUCAUCAUGCCCUUUAUGUCUUGGGCUUCACGCAUGCUACAAUGGCUGGUACAGAGAGAGGCGAACCCGUGAGGGUGAGCGAAUCCCUUAAAGCCAGUCUCAGUUCGGAUCGUAGUCUGCAAUUCGACUACGUGAAGUCAGAGUCGCUAGUAAUCGCAUAUCAGCAACGCUGCGGUGAAUACGUUCCCGGGUC
Molecule: ribosomal RNA, 837 nt
Filed under: uncultured bacterium
Lineage: Bacteria
Description: bacterial SSU rRNA
Rfam family: Bacterial small subunit ribosomal RNA
Source: RNAcentral